Molecule: ribosomal RNA, 250 nt
Filed under: uncultured prokaryote
Description: partial 16S ribosomal RNA
Rfam family: Bacterial small subunit ribosomal RNA
Source: RNAcentral
UACGGAGGAUGCAAGCGUUAUCCGGAUUUAUUGGGUUCGAAGGGUGCGUAGGCGGUCUUUUAAGCGUGAGGUGAAAUGCCGGAGCUCAACCCCGGAGUUGCUUCGCGAACUGGAGGACUUGAAUGCUCCUGCCUUGGGAGGAAUGUGUGGUGUAGCGGUGAAAUGCAUAGAGAUCACACAGAACACCGAUUGCGAAGGCAUCUCACGAAGGGGCGAUUGACGCUGAGGCACGAAAGCGUGGGGAUCAAAC